Molecule: ribosomal RNA, 468 nt
Filed under: uncultured bacterium
Lineage: Bacteria
Description: partial 16S ribosomal RNA
Rfam family: Bacterial small subunit ribosomal RNA
Source: RNAcentral
GACGAACGCUGGCGGCGUGCUUAACACAUGCAAGUCGAACGGAAAGGCCCUGCUUUUGUGGGGUGCUCGAGUGGCGAACGGGUGAGUAACACGUGAGUAACCUGCCCUUGACUUUGGGAUAACUUCAGGAAACUGGGGCUAAUACCGGCUAGGAGCUCCUGCUGCUUGGUGGGGGUUGGAAAGUUUCGGCGGUUGGGGAUGGACUCGCGGCUUAUCAGCUUGUUGGUGGGGUAGUGGCUUACCAAGGCUUUGACGGGUAGCCGGCCUGAGAGGGUGACCGGCCACAUUGGGACUGAGAUACGGCCCAGACUCCUACGGGAGGCAGCAGUGGGGAAUAUUGCACAAUGGGCGGAAGCCUGAUGCAGCAACGCCGCGUGCGGGAUGACGGCCUUCGGGUUGUAAACCGCUUUCGCCUGUGACGAAGCGUGAGUGACGGUAAUGGGUAAAGAAGCACCGGCUAACUACGUG